CCUUCUAUUUUACAAUUCUUCUUGUUUACUAUCAGACAAUUUGUAACUUCUCUUGGUUGCCAUGGCUGCCUAGCUACUUUUGAUCUGCCUUUGGAGUCCCCAGCUGAGUUCAAGAAAUAUCCUGCAAACACUGUCAUUGUGCAGUAAACAACUGCCUCUGAAAACCAUAUAGGAUCUAUUUUAUACAAAUAUAACAUCUCUAAAUGAGUUUAGCACAGUUGUUGGCUGGGAUGGGGUGACAAUGCCGAGAAAAUAAAACCCAGUGAAAAUGAUAAUUAUCCUCAGUCAAUUACAAUAUACAAGUUCGACCACAUCAAAUAUUUCAUUUCUAAUUUAUCAAAAAGAAAAACCAUUUCUAAAGGAACAUUUAAGGAAACCAACCAGGCAAGCACCAUGCUUGAUAUGAGAUUAAGAUCAACACAUAUAAUACCAACUAGCAAUAAGAACUGCCGGAUUAUGCGAGUAUAAUUAUAAGUGUCUUGAUGAGACUAUGAAUAAUUGUAAACUAGUAGUAGGAGUUUCUUUCGAGGGCCAUUCCCCAAUUUACUUAUCAAAAAAAAUAAAACAAAAUUUUAGACUAGUUGCUGACUAUAGAUGGGCGGAAUAUUUGAGCAUGGAAACUAUAUACACAGGAAAAUACCUAAUUGAUGAUAGGAGCCUCAAAAUAGUCUAACACCCAAAAAGUAAAAGUAAAAAAUGUCGGAAAAAAAAAGAAAAAGAAAAAGAAAAAAAUAGAACAUCUUAGCAGAUCUAGCAUAAGAAUUAAUCCAAACACUUGAACUUGGUACACAAAUGAAAUAUGGACUUCCAUUUAUCAUAAAGAAUCAAAAGAUUAAUAAAACCAUAUUGUAAACUGGACAAGAUGAGGCUCCACUUCACAUUUGACAGCCUAAGACCAAAUUGAGAAACUUGAUCAAUCUAUAAAAUUUAAAGAACAAAUCACACACUGCCAAAACUACUAGGUAGAUAGAUUGACAAAACUACUGAAGCAGAUUAUAUAAAAAUUGAUAUAGUCUUCCAUCUAUAAGGAAUUGCAAGAGAUACUUUUGAGGAAAGUUGAUUCAGCAACUCGUUUCACACUAAGACAUCAACAGAACACAAUUUACUCGUGUAAGCAAAUCUGCAAUCGAUAUUCAUUAUGAUUCACUUACCACUGUGCAAAAUACAAUCCGAGCAUAACUGCCUUGAGUAGCCUCCUUGUGUAUCAAUAAAUAUAAGUUGGCAGUUGUUUGAUAUACAUAGAAAACCUCGGAAGAGCAAGGAAACCACCACAUAUACAAGUGUACUGCCCUUUGGUCCAGGAAUAGAAAGAUCUUGCAAGCAUUAGAUCAAAGAUCACAUAU
RNAcentral lists this long non-coding RNA (1343 nucleotides) under Panax ginseng (ginseng). RNAcentral describes it as "long non-coding RNA (PGIN_LNC005932)". Lineage: Eukaryota; Viridiplantae; Streptophyta; Magnoliopsida; Apiales; Araliaceae. The record is from RNAcentral.